CCCGUGGACAGGUGACCGCUGCCCGCCAUGUGGCGGGUGGAGGAAAGUCCGGACACGACAGGACACGGUGGUGGGUAACGCCCACCGGCUCUCGUCGAGCCAGGGAAAGUGCCACAGAAAGCAAACCGCCCGACCCGGCGACGGGAUGGGUAAGGGUGAAAGGGUGCGGUAAGAGCGCACCGCCCGGCCGGUGACGGUCGGGGCACGGCAAACCCCACCGCGUGCAAGCGCAAGCAGCCCUCGCGGUGCGCCUCGGCGUACCGGCCCGUGGUCCGCGGGAUGAGGGCGGGUCGCGUGCAUGAGGUCGACGGCAACGUCGGCCCCAGAUGAAUGGUCACCGCCCGCCGAGCCGCCGACGGCCGCGAAGCGGGGCACAGAAUCCGGCUUACGUCCACGGACGAG
RNAcentral lists this RNase P RNA (402 nucleotides) under Phycisphaerales bacterium. RNAcentral's name for it is "RNase P RNA component class A". It matches the Rfam family "Bacterial RNase P class A". Rfam says of the family: Ribonuclease P (RNase P) is a ubiquitous endoribonuclease, found in archaea, bacteria and eukarya as well as chloroplasts and mitochondria. Its best characterised activity is the generation of mature 5'-ends of tRNAs by cleaving the 5'-leader elements of precursor-tRNAs. The record is from RNAcentral. Lineage: Bacteria; Pseudomonadati; Planctomycetota; Phycisphaerae; Phycisphaerales.